CGUGUAGGCGGUCUGUUAAGUCUGGUGUGAAAGCCCUGGGCUCAACCCAGGAAGUGCAUUGGAUACUGGCAGACUUGAGUAUGGGAGAGGAAAGCGGAAUUCCGAGUGUAGGAGUGAAAUCCGUAGAUAUUCGGAGGAACACCAGUGGCGAAGGCGGCUUUCUGGACCAAUACUGACGCUGAGACGCGAAAGCGUGGGGAGCAAACAGGAUUAGAUACCCUGGUAGUCC
RNAcentral lists this ribosomal RNA (229 nucleotides) under uncultured bacterium. RNAcentral describes it as "partial 16S ribosomal RNA". It matches the Rfam family "Bacterial small subunit ribosomal RNA", at positions 568 to 796 of the family's 1533-position model. The record is from RNAcentral.